This 2691-nucleotide non-coding RNA is filed under the name Pongo abelii (Sumatran orangutan). The record is from RNAcentral. Lineage: Eukaryota; Metazoa; Chordata; Mammalia; Primates; Hominidae.
GGUGAAUUCAACAUUGAUUGGGAAUGAGGUAACCACAAACACCGCUGUCUCAAAUGAAAAGGGAUUCAAGAUCUGACCCAGAAAACAAGCAUCGUAACCACCAGAUAAAAUUUUAAUGAUAAACACAAGAUGCUCUACAUAUAAGCAAGACUGAAGUCUCUCAUGCUAAGCCAUCAACGUAAGGUUUUCUUAGAAAGAGGAGCCGCCAGCAGCCUCUCGACCCACAGAUCAAGUUUCAUCCUAUAGAUCCACAGAACUCGGCCAUCGUGCCCUGUGCCGGCAUAAUCUGUAAUGUUGAACAGACCCCGAGGGAACAGAGAGGCAGAGAGAGAAGGACUGGCAUCUGGACUCGUAGGGGGCCUGCCCUUCAGGAGCUCCAGAGAAGAAAUUCAUAAUUGGCUUUGAGAUUCAAGGCUCUCCUUGAAUCUCCUUGCGACUCUUUCAGUCCAGUCUCAGCCUUCUGUCCUCAAGUGUCUUCUGACACUCUAGGCAGAGAUCCCUUUAAGCUGGAAUGAUCGAAGUACCUUCUGGAGUUCCCACCAAACUGUAGCAUCCGUGGGUAGAAAGGAGCUGCAUAUUAGGCGAUUGUAGGCCCACAUUUUAGCAAUGAGGUGGAGAGGCCCAACGUGCAUCGAUAACUUAAUGGACAGAAUCGCAAGUAUCUGGACCAUCAAUCUUUCUAAAACUAGUUCUGCAGCACUCCCAAGAAGGGCUUUCACCUCUAAAUCAUAGCCAGUAAAACAGAAACUGAAGAAAAGCCUGCCUCCUGGGUAUAUCUUGUUUAAAGCAGAAAUACUUUUUUUCAUAGGCACUGCAUACCACAAAAUAUUAAAAUAAUCUGACUGUGUGGAAUUUCUAUUCAAAAGGUGCUCUUUAAGGAAUGCUGCUUAAGGAAAGAUUUUUCUUUAAAGAAAAGGACUCCUCUACUACUGAGUUUUAAAGUCCAAGGUUUGUUUUGUUUCCCAUAGGCAGGAACUUCCCUAAGGCGUCUCACUCCAUAGCAGAUCCAAACUCAGAAAUUUAAGUGUUCUGGUUUCUACUUUAUGGCAUUAAGUAUAUAGUCUGAGGCUGUAGUUCAUGACAUCUUCCUAAUCCAAAAAGAAAACUGAUCUUAUUGUACAGUAAAUAAAUAUAUAAAUGUACCUCUGUAACAAAGUAGGAAGACUUCAUCAAAGUGGUUUUUGGGACAGAAGCUGAAGGAAUUUACAGAAGCUAAAAUUAAAUGUAUUGGCCAUGGAGAAAAAAAAAAAUUUCAGGACAACUUAAGUAACAAAUAGGUACUAUAUGGUGGGGAAGGAAGAUUAUGUGUGGCCACAGCCCUUCUUCACAAUAAGGGAUUUAGAAAAAGAGAAUGAGAACAGGGCCUGUCUGUGCCAACACUUACUAUUUUUGCUUGACUUUUUUAUGUCUUCACAAAAUACAAACUGUUUGCCUUAAUGAAAAUCUCACAUAACAUGCCACAAGAGUGAUUUAAAAGCUGGGAAAGACAUAUUGAGACAAAUGGAUCACAGAUCUGCUCUAUACCACGUGCUUCUCACCCUUGCUGCGGCGCUCUCACGUCCUUGGGAGCAGAAUCACGGAGACUCUCCCUCUUCCACAUGGGCUGCAACUGAGGGAGGUACAUGCUCUCAAGGGAAGCUAAGGUCACUGGUACUCAGAGGGUGGUAUGAGAAAAAUGAAAGACCUUCAGAUGCAGAGCACUCAGUGGAAACGGUUUUGCUUACCCAGCAAUGACCACGCCAUCGUGAGAAUGCACAUCACGCAAAACUGCGUCAGGAACAUGCUCCAGCUCGCUCACAGCACCUUUGCGAUUCUGCGUGAGGAAAAGGGGGAUGCAGUUUAGACUAUUCUCGGGACAGCCCGAAAGCCAAGCAUCGCGCUUUUUCACCUACUUUCCACAGCAAUUCUCUACAGCAUGGACAGCAAGUGCAUUCAAAGUUCUGUGGGCAUUCAAAAAGACAAAGAUGAUGACUAACAUGCUAAGCUGUUAAGCAUGGACGAGUUACUAUAUAUCCCAAAGGCACUGAACUCGAGGACACAGGAUGUGUGAGACACUGCCCCAUCCUCCAGGAGGUUACAGAAUAGAAAGCAAAUAUGUGCUCACCAAUAACUACCAUCCACAAUAGGCUGGCAUGUAUCUGCUGGGAGUGGCAAGUAUCUAAAGAAACUUAUAAAGUAUAUGAAAAAGUUCAGUUCAGCAAAAAGAAAGUAUUACAUGAUACCUUACCUGUUAAUUCUUAUAAGGACUCUCAGAAUAAAAUGCAAAAUUAUAUACAAAUAGAUAAAGAUCAGGAUGAGGAAAAGGAGAAGAGAUGAUAUAUUUCUAACUAAGAGGCCAGAGAUUUCAUGGAAAUGGUAUUUGAAUGAAAGUCUAGGCCAGGCACAGUGGCUCAUGCCUGUAAUUCCAGCACUUUGGGAGGCAGAGGCAGGAAGAUCACUUGAGCUCAGAUGUUUGAGACCAGCCUGUGCAACACAGGGAGACCCCAUCUCUGCAAAAAAUUUAAAAGAUAGUCAGGUGUGGUGGCAUGCACCUGUAGUCCCAACUAUUUGAGAGGAUGAGGCAUGAGGAUCACUUGAGUCCAGGAACUUAAGGCUACAGUGAGUUAUGAUUGCAACACUGUACUUCAGCCUGGGCAAGAGAGUGAGAACCUAUCUCUAAAAAAAUAAAAAAUUAAAUUGAAUUAAAAUGAA